This 198-nucleotide non-coding RNA is filed under the name Perkinsus marinus ATCC 50983. RNAcentral describes it as "Eukaryotic large subunit ribosomal RNA". It matches the Rfam family "Eukaryotic large subunit ribosomal RNA", at positions 3203 to 3401 of the family's 3401-position model. The record is from Rfam by way of RNAcentral. Lineage: Eukaryota; Perkinsozoa; Perkinsida; Perkinsidae.
GGCCUGACCAAAAUUCAAGCUGCUAUACCUCUGGCUGCAUUGACUUGUGGUCAGAGUGUAUGGUGAUCAUAGCAAUUGCAAGUAUUGGGCUCGAUAAAUCCUUUGAAGACGACUUAAUUGCAUCCGGGUAUUGUAAGUGUUGAGAGUAGGCUUAGUCUUACGAUCCACUGAGAUUCAUCCCGUGUUGCGCCGAUUUGU